UUGGGUCAUCGGUGGAAAAAUCUGGAGUUCUUCCAGGUCUUUUGACUGAGGACCAAA
RNAcentral lists this non-coding RNA (57 nucleotides) under unclassified sequences. The record is from RNAcentral.